Molecule: long non-coding RNA, 2329 nt
Organism: Cyprinus carpio (common carp)
Lineage: Eukaryota; Metazoa; Chordata; Actinopteri; Cypriniformes; Cyprinidae
Exons: 8
Source: RefSeq, a predicted model, not a curated record
UGCCUCCAUCAUUCUGUGACAUGGGGAAUGCAAUCAGUUCUCUGAUUGGUCAGGGUGGGGUUGAGGGGGCGGGGCUUAAUGAGGAUGGAGAGGAGAAUGUGUUGCUCUCUGAGGAACAUAGUCUAGUGCUGACGUGUUGCUGGGUUUUCUUGAAGGAAAUUGGUAUUUUUCUGGGCUCCCUGGGGGAGAGAAUCCUGUCACUCCACUGUAAAGAACUGACAUUGAGUGUGAAAGAACUCAGAGGGGCUUCCAACGUGUUUAAAGACAUCAUUCUGAAACGCAGACAUUGGGGGGCAGUAAAGGGCUGCUGUGUUGGCAUCACUAAAUUCUGCAGGGCUCUACUGAGCAGCUCUGAUCCAUAGAUCAGGGAGAUUCCGCCCAGGGCCUUUCUGUUCUCCAGUCGCCCCGUAAUACAAAUACUUUGUCUUCCCCUGAUCUCAUUUCAACACUUGUGAAGAAGUCACGUGUUGAACUUUGACUUCUCGUAGGUUCUCUCUGCACCAGAAUGUUGGGUUAACAGCUGACCGGUGAAGAGGGCUCCACUCAUUCCAGCAUGUCUUCUUCUUCCUUCUUUAACCUCUACCCAGCCCUACAGCCCUUCCUCCAGGGGGCGCUGGAAAGCGCAGCUAAAGACCUUCAUGACGCCACCUUCCCUCUACCCUGUCCUCACCCUGCUCACCAAACUACAGCCUGGUGCUGAGGAACAGACACCGUAUGAUGGUUUACGGCUGUACAAACAAUCCAUACAUCCAAAUGCAUGAACAUAAAUGUAUUAUAUUGUAUAUUACAUUAGGUUUAUUGUAUUAUAUUAUUUGCUAAAUUUGACUAUCCAAAAAGUUGUAUAAUAUAUGAUUUUUUAUUUAUUAUGAUAUUAUAUCCAGAUUUAAAUACACAAUAUUUUGUAUAAUAUCAUAUCAGUAUAUAUUUAGAUUUUACAUUUUUGAAGACUAUGAUAUUAUAUUAAAUCUGGCAAAUUAGUCAAAUUUUCCUGAUUUAUAACCAUUAAUAUACAUUCGUGUUUCUGAUUUGCUUGAUGUCUUUGUGUUUUCCUCAGGACUUUGUCGAAAUUCCUGCCUCCGCUAUUCCUCCUAGCUGCCAGUCCAGUCUAUGGCGUACGAGUGAUGUCAUCGAGAGCCCUAGUUGCUAUGAUACCACCAAGUGAAUAUCUGGCAACUGUCCUGCAGUUGGUGGAAAACCUGCUGGAAUCGCAGGAUGUUGUGUGCUGUCACAGACUGCAUGGCCAACUCCUCCUACAGAUAGGAGCCAUACUGGCCAGGGCACUGAAAACUAACAUAUAAGCAGUUUUUGUCAUUUAUUUGUCAUUAGUUUUUUGCCACAGCAGUCAUAAUCAGUGAUCACAAUGUAAUCUGAGUCUUCUCGUUGAGCAGUCGGUCAUCUCACAGUGAUGUUGUCAGUGAGUUUGAGUCCAGACUGUAGAUGGCAUCUGUGAGGCAACAGUACCCGCUGGAGUGGCUGGCAAAAAGUGGAUAUAGUGAGGAUGAUAAAAGGCCAUUGCUCUGGUGUUUCCUCACUCAGCUCUCCUCCAACUACUGCAGGAGAUUCACAGGACUCCAAACAUACUAGAGGAUGGCUUUGCUUCUUUCCACCAAAGUACAGUGAACUUCCUUUAUGGGGAUCCUGAGUGGGCGUGUCAGGUGUGGCAGCAUCUGGCCAAUGGCCACGCAGUAGUACGUCUCUCAUUGAUCAAGUCUGCAACAGAGAGACAUGGCUGGAGAAGAACUGUCCUAUAGCAAGUUAUAGAGAGCGCGCUGCAGCGUCCAUCAUCUGCAGGCCAACCUGAAGAGGCGCUGUUGGACCAGAACGUGGAGUACUGGGGUGCAUUCUUGACUGCAUUAGUUGAGGUUAUGACCCCAGAGGAAGAGAGUCUUGCCCUGCCCGGUCCCUGUCCUUCAGGGUUUGAGGAGACAUGGCUGCAGGAGUGUGCGGAGCUUCUGUUUACUGAUCUGGAGUCAGAUAGAGGAGGACCUUUGCUGAUCUCAUGGCUCUGUGUGCAGUCAGCCUGCUCCUUUGUCACAGGGCUGCACGAUAAAUCACAUGCGAUAUUUAAUGCACAUCUUGUCAUAUUUGCACAUGUUUUGCACAGAUUGUCAGUGACAAUAUGAUCUGGCAUAUUAGAAUGAUUUCUGAAGCAUCAUGUGACAGAGAAGACUGUAUAAUUGCUGCUGAAAAUUCAGCUUUGUCAUCACAGAUGUCGCGGUUUGUAUGAGCAAGAUGAAGCAAUCUCAGAGUGCCUUUUGCCAACACCUAUUAAAUCUAGUUAAACAUUACCCAGAAUCUCCACUCUCGACCAAGAAACCUCGAGCACUGG